UGUUUCGGCUAGGGGGCCAUCCCGGCUUACCAACCCGAUGCAAACUGCGAAUACCGGAGAAUGUUAUCACGGGAGACACACGGCGGGUGCUAACGUCCGUCGUGAAGAGGGAAACAACCCAGACCGCCAGCUAAGGUCCCAAAGUCAUGGUUAAGUGGGAAACGAUGUGGGAAGGCCCAGACAGCCAGGAUGUUGGCUUAGAAGCAGCCAUCAUUUAAAGAAAGCGUAAUAGCUCACUGGUCGAGUCGGCCUGCGCGGAAGAUGUAACGGGGCUAAACCAUGCACCGAAGCUGCGGCAGCGAACGUAUCACUUAAAGCGAUUCAGCGGGUUACGAUUGACGGAGCGAAGCGACGUCAAAGCGUAUACAAAGUCGAGUCGGUUUAAGGAUACGUUCGUUGGGUAGGGGAGCGUUCUGUAAGCCUGUGAAGGUGGCCUGUGAGG
Molecule: ribosomal RNA, 442 nt
Filed under: Salmonella enterica subsp. enterica serovar Kentucky
Lineage: Bacteria; Pseudomonadati; Pseudomonadota; Gammaproteobacteria; Enterobacterales; Enterobacteriaceae
Description: partial 23S ribosomal RNA
Rfam family: Bacterial large subunit ribosomal RNA
Source: RNAcentral